This 499-nucleotide ribosomal RNA is filed under the name uncultured bacterium. Its description in RNAcentral is "partial 16S ribosomal RNA". It matches the Rfam family "Bacterial small subunit ribosomal RNA", at positions 30 to 523 of the family's 1533-position model. The record is from RNAcentral.
AUUGAACGCUGGCGGCAAGCCUUACACAUGCAAGUCGAACGGUAACGGGUCCUUCGGGAUGCCGACGAGUGGCGAACGGGUGAGUAAUAUAUCGGAACGUGCCCAGUAGUGGGGGAUAACUGCUCGAAAGAGCAGCUAAUACCGCAUACGACCCGAGGGUGAAAGGGGGGGAUCGCAAGACCUCUCGCUAUUGGAGUGGCCGAUAUCAGAUUAGCUAGUUGGUGGGGUAAAGGCCUACCAAGGCAACGAUCUGUAGUUGGUCUGAGAGGACGACAGCCACACUGGGACUGAGACACGGCCCAGACUCCUACGGGAGGCAGCAGUGGGGAAUUUUGGACAAUGGGCGCAAGCCUGAUCCAGCAAUGCCGCGUGCAGGAAGAAGGCCUUCGGGUUGUAAACUGCUUUUGUCAGGGAAGAAAUCUUCUGGGCUAAUACCCCGGGAGGAUGACGGUACCUGAAGAAUAAGCACCGGCUAACUACGUGCCAGCAGCCGCAGUAA